RNAcentral lists this ribosomal RNA (440 nucleotides) under uncultured bacterium. RNAcentral's name for it is "partial 16S ribosomal RNA". It matches the Rfam family "Bacterial small subunit ribosomal RNA", at positions 338 to 795 of the family's 1533-position model. The record is from RNAcentral.
CCUACGGGAGGCAGCAGUGGGGGAUAUUGCACAAUGGGGGAAACCCUGAUGCAGCGACGCCGCGUGUGGGAAGACGGUCCUCUGGAUUGUAAACCACUGUCCCCAGGGACGAAAAUGACGGUACCUGGGGAGGAAGCUCCGGCUAACUACGUGCCAGCAGCCGCGGUAAUACGUAGGGAGCGAGCGUUGUCCGGAAUUACUGGGUGUAAAGGGAGCGUAGGCGGGGAUGCAAGUUGGGUGUCAAAACUACCGGCUCAACUGGUAGUCGCACUCAAAACUGCAGCUCUUGAGUGAAGUAGAGGCAGGCGGAAUUCCUAGUGUAGCGGUGAAAUGCGUAGAUAGUAGGAGGAACACCAGUGGCGAAGGCGGCCUGCUGGACAGUAACUGACGUUGAGGCUCGAAAGCGUGGGGAGCAAACAGGAUUAGAUACCCUAGUAGUC